Molecule: long non-coding RNA, 1201 nt
Filed under: Bemisia tabaci
Lineage: Eukaryota; Metazoa; Arthropoda; Insecta; Hemiptera; Aleyrodidae
Description: lncRNA ENSASIAIIG001093
Source: RNAcentral
AAUAUACUAAAAAGAAAUCGCGCAAUCAAAUUGACGUGGUAACGAUUUUAAGAAUACUUCAACACAAUGCAGGUGACUUAUUCGUCCCUUUGUUGUCAAAUUGAACAGAGACCCUCACCGCGGAGUAUUUAAAAUCGACUAAAAUUCCCAGCACAGGAGCCGGCAACAACGGGAUAGGCAUCAACCGACUGUAGCAAAAGCACUGAAAAAAAAACAGCGAGACUAAAAAAUUCAGUCGGCCAUCUUUGCCUGGCAUGACGCGUCAAAAAGUCAUGCCAAACAAAGAUGGCCGACUGAAUUUGGAAAAUGAAAUGAAAAUCAUCUAUAGUAGAAUCGCUUGAAGCAAUGAAACGACAACGGGUAUCGUACGCGCAGAUCUUCACCAGAUCGUUUCAGACCGCUCUCCUCUUAAAAUGAACCUGAAAAGUAUACGAAUCGUGUUAUUGGUUUUCACGUUUCUGAUCGCAGAAAUCAAGGCCUGGAACCCUCACAACUGGUUGCCUCAAGGCCCACCCCCGCAGAUCGGGGAGUUUGCCAUGCGGCGGCACAAUUGGAUGACGAACGUGAGAAAAAAUGCCGAGCGCAUGGACAAAUGCGCCGAGUCGGCCUUUUGGUGCGAGUGGUUCGCGACCCGAGCCCAAAAGAAAAGGAAGAUGGCCGCCGACAGAUCCUGUUUUGAGGCCUUCGAGAUGAUGAAGGAGCUCCUCGAUUCCCGUCAACUGGGCGAGUGCGCCUUGGUCGUCGACGCCUGGUGCCGAUGGCAUGAAGGCCUUUAUCAGUGCACCGCCGUUGCUGGCAACCAGAUAUUCUCCAUCCACGACUGCUUUAACCAGCUACCUUAAGAACAACCUGGAUCAGUUUUAGACGGGGGCUAAAGGAUACAUUUCCCUUUUUACCCGAAAAACCACGUUUCACGAUUUUGUUCUAUUCUUCUCUUUUUUAUCGAUGUAUACUUUUGGCUGCCAAAUUUGAAAAUGGCCUUGGUUUUUUUCCUAUUGGAUUUUCGCCGUAAACUCCGUUUGUAAGGAAAAUCAGUGGGUGUAUAUAAGAAUGAACCAUCACUGGGGCCAUUUUUGGAUUCUGCGCUGAAAAUUACUCACAACUCAAUUAUUACACAAAUAUAUACCAAUAAGGAUCUUAAUGUUGCCCUACUUGUAUUAUUUCGCUUAAAUAACUAUUAUUUGGUCAAAAUUGCCCAAAA